UACGGGGGGGGCAAGCGUUGUUCGGAAUUACUGGGCGUAAAGGGUUUGUAGGUGGCUUGCUAAGUCAGACGUGAAAUCCCUCAGCUUAACUGGGGAACUGCGUCUGAUACUGGUGAGCUUGAGUGCAGGAGAGGAACGCGGAAUUCCAGGUGUAGCGGUGAAAUGCGCAGAUAUCAGGAAGAACACCUAUGGCGAAGGCAGCUCUCUGGGACGGUACUGACGCUGAGACGCGAAAGCGUGGGGAGCGAACAGG
RNAcentral lists this ribosomal RNA (253 nucleotides) under uncultured bacterium. RNAcentral describes it as "partial 16S ribosomal RNA". It matches the Rfam family "Bacterial small subunit ribosomal RNA", at positions 524 to 776 of the family's 1533-position model. The record is from RNAcentral.